This 349-nucleotide ribosomal RNA is filed under the name uncultured bacterium. RNAcentral describes it as "partial 16S ribosomal RNA". It matches the Rfam family "Bacterial small subunit ribosomal RNA", at positions 338 to 698 of the family's 1533-position model. The record is from RNAcentral.
CCUACGGGCGGCAGCAGUAGGGAAUUUUCGGCAAUGGGGGGAACCCUGACCGAGCCACGCCGCGUGAACGAAGAAGGUAUUCGUAAUGUAAAGUUCCUUUAACAGGGAAGAAAGAGAAAUUUGAUGGUACCUGAAGAAUAAGCUCCGGCUAACUACGUGCCAGCAGCCCCGGUAAUACGUAGGGAGCGAGCGUUAUCCGGCAUUAUUGGGCGUAAAGGGGGCGUAGAUGGAAUAGGAAGUCUUUUGGAAAAAGGCGGGGCUCAACCCAGUAGGGCAAAAGAUACUGCAAUGCUAGAGUAUGACAGAGGUAAGUGGAACUAGAGGUGUAGCGGUAAAAUGCGUAAAUAUA